RNAcentral lists this ribosomal RNA (434 nucleotides) under Eleutherodactylus modestus. RNAcentral describes it as "partial 16S ribosomal RNA". It matches the Rfam family "Bacterial large subunit ribosomal RNA", at positions 2004 to 2608 of the family's 2925-position model. The record is from RNAcentral. Lineage: Eukaryota; Metazoa; Chordata; Amphibia; Anura; Eleutherodactylidae.
ACGAGAAUUAAACUGUCUCCUUAUUCUAGUCAGUGAAACUAAUCUUCCUGUGAAAAAGCAGGAAUUCUCUAACAAGACGAGAAGACCCUUUGGAGCUUAAGACAAAUAAAAUUUAUAAUUCUCCAUUAUAUAUCUACACCACUAAAUUUUAAUAGUCUUCGGUUGGGGCAACUACGGAGUAAAGACCAACCUCCAAGAUGUAAUGGAACCUUCCUAAACAAAAAGCCACAGCUUUAUGUAUCAUCAAACUGACAUUAUUAGACCCAAUACUUUGAUUAACGAACCAAGUUACCCUAGGGAUAACAGCGCAAUUUAUUCUAAGAGUCCAUAUCGACGAAUAAGCUUACGACCUCGAUGUUGGAUCAAGGUAUCCCAGUGGCGCAACCGCUACUAAAGGUUCGUUUGUUCAACGAUUAAAACCUCACAUGAUCUGA